Molecule: ribosomal RNA, 447 nt
Filed under: uncultured bacterium
Lineage: Bacteria
Description: bacterial SSU rRNA
Rfam family: Bacterial small subunit ribosomal RNA
Source: RNAcentral
UGGGGAAUCUUGGACAAUGGGCGCAAGCCUGAUCCAGCCAUGCCGCGUGGAUGAUGAAGGCCUUAGGGUUGUAAAAUCCUUUCGCCGAGGACGAUAAUGACGGUACUCGGAGAAGAAGCUCCGGCUAACUUCGUGCCAGCAGCCGCGGUAAUACAGAGGGUGCAAGCGUUAAUCGGAAUUACUGGGCGUAAAGCGCGCGUAGGUGGUUAGUUAAGUUGGAUGUGAAAUCCCCGGGCUCAACCUGGGAACUGCAUUCAAAACUGACAAGCUAGAGUAUGGUAGAGGGUGGUGGAAUUCCAUGUGUAGCAGUGAAAUGCGUAGAGAUAUGGAAGAACAUCGAUGGCGAAGGCAGCCCCCUGGGUUAACACUGACGCUCAUGCACGAAAGCGUGGGGAGCAAACAGGAUUAGAUACCCCAGUAGUCCCUGAGCGGGCUGGCAAGGCGCAU